RNAcentral lists this transfer RNA (71 nucleotides) under Lachnospiraceae bacterium. RNAcentral describes it as "tRNA-Trp". It matches the Rfam family "tRNA". From Rfam's summary of the family: Transfer RNA (tRNA) molecules are approximately 80 nucleotides in length. The record is from RNAcentral. Lineage: Bacteria; Bacillati; Bacillota; Clostridia; Lachnospirales; Lachnospiraceae. RNAcentral also lists the same sequence under 1 other name.
AGGGGCAUCGUCCAAUGGUAGGAUACCGGUCUCCAAAACCGUUGAUGGGGGUUCGAAUCCCUCUACCCCUG